GAUGAACGCUGGCGGCGUGCCUAAUACAUGCGAGUCGAGCGAUCAGAUGAGGAGCUUGCUCCUCUGACGUUAGCGGCGGACGGGUGAGUAACACGUGGAUAACCUACCUAUAAGACUGGGAUAACUUCGGGAAACCGGAGCUAAUACCGGAUAAUAUAUUGAACCGCAUGGUUCAAUAGUGAAAGACGGUUUUGCUGUCACUUAUAGAUGGAUCCGCGCCGCAUUAGCUAGUUGGUAAGGUAACGGCUUACCAAGGCAACGAUGCGUAGCCGACCUGAGAGGGUGAUCGGCCACACUGGAACUGAGACACGGUCCAGACUCCUACGGGAGGCAGCAGUAGGGAAUCUUCCGCAAUGGGCGAAAGCCUGACGGAGCAACGCCGCGUGAGUGAUGAAGGUCUUCGGAUCGUAAAACUCUGUUAUUAGGGAAGAACAAAUGUGUAAGUAACUAUGCACGUCUUGACGGUACCUAAUCAGAAAGCCACGGCUAACUACGU
RNAcentral lists this ribosomal RNA (496 nucleotides) under uncultured bacterium. Its description in RNAcentral is "partial 16S ribosomal RNA". It matches the Rfam family "Bacterial small subunit ribosomal RNA", at positions 28 to 506 of the family's 1533-position model. The record is from RNAcentral.